Molecule: ribosomal RNA, 133 nt
Filed under: uncultured fungus
Lineage: Eukaryota; Fungi
Description: partial 28S ribosomal RNA
Rfam family: Eukaryotic large subunit ribosomal RNA
Source: RNAcentral
AUUAAUGUGACCUCAAAUCAGGUAGGACUACCCGCUGAACUUAAGCAUAUCAAUAAGCGGAGGAAAAGAAACUAACAAGGAUUCCCCUAGUAACUGCGAGUGAAGCGGGAAAAGCUCAAAUUUAAAAUCUGGC